AUGCAUCUGACAGACGUGGAGCAGUUAAUGUCUGCUGCUAAGGUUUCUACUAUAGCUUCAAGAAAAAGAAGGUCCUCAUGCUUUCUGUCUGUCUGGUUGUGGCAGCCAAGAUUGAAUGGGGGAAUACAGUA
Molecule: small nucleolar RNA, 131 nt
Filed under: Dasypus novemcinctus (nine-banded armadillo)
Lineage: Eukaryota; Metazoa; Chordata; Mammalia; Cingulata; Dasypodidae
Description: Small nucleolar RNA SNORA31 (ENSDNOG00000049342.1)
Rfam family: Small nucleolar RNA SNORA31
About the family: ACA31 (SNORA31) belongs to the H/ACA class of snoRNAs which are thought to guide the sites of modification of uridines to pseudouridines. ACA31 is predicted to guide the pseudouridylation of U3713 in 28S rRNA and U218 in 18S rRNA. This family includes the mouse homologue snoMBI-161.
Source: RNAcentral